UAGGGAAUCUUCGGCAAUGGGGGCAACCCUGACCGAGCAACGCCGCGUGAGUGAAGAAGGUUUUCGGAUCGUACAGCUCUGUUGUAAGAGAAGAACGUGUGUGAGAGUGGAAAGUUCAUACAGUGACGGUAACUUACCAGAAAGGGACGGCUAACUACGUGCCAGCAGCCGCGGUAAUACGUAGGUCCCGAGCGUUGUCCGGAUUUAUUGGGCGUAAAGCGAGCGCAGGCGGUUUAAUAAGUCUGAAGUUAAAGGCAGUGGCUUAACCAUUGUUCGCUUUGGAAACUGUUGAACUUGAGUGCAGAAGGGGAGAGUGGAAUUCCAUGUGUAGCGGUGAAAUGCGUAGAUAUAUGGAGGAACACCGGUGGCGAAAGCGGCUCUCUGGUCUGUAACUGACGCUGAGGCUCGAAAGCGUGGGGAGCAAACAGG
This 429-nucleotide ribosomal RNA is filed under the name bacterium. RNAcentral describes it as "partial 16S ribosomal RNA". It matches the Rfam family "Bacterial small subunit ribosomal RNA", at positions 355 to 776 of the family's 1533-position model. The record is from RNAcentral.